CCUCGGGGGGCUGCAGUGGGGAAUAUUGGACAAUGGGCGAAAGCCUGAUCCAGCCAUGCCGCGUGUGUGAAGAAGGCCUUCGGGUUGUAAAGCACUUUCAGUGGGGAAGAAAGCCUUGGGGCUAAUACCCUCGAGGAAGGACAUCACCCACAGAAGAAGCACCGGCUAACUCCGUGCCAGCAGCCGCGGUAAUACGGAGGGUGCGAGCGUUAAUCGGAAUUACUGGGCGUAAAGCGCGCGUAGGCGGUCUGAUAAGCCGGUUGUGAAAGCCCCGGGCUCAACCUGGGAACGGCAUCCGGAACUGUCAGGCUAGAGUGCAGGAGAGGAAGGUAGAAUUCCCGGUGUAGCGGUGAAAUGCGUAGAGAUCGGGAGGAAUACCAGUGGCGAAGGCGGCCUUCUGGACUGACACUGACGCUGAGGUGCGAAAGCGUGGGUAGCAAACAGGAUUAGAUACCCCAGUAGUC
RNAcentral lists this ribosomal RNA (464 nucleotides) under Vreelandella stevensii. RNAcentral's name for it is "partial 16S ribosomal RNA". It matches the Rfam family "Bacterial small subunit ribosomal RNA", at positions 339 to 795 of the family's 1533-position model. The record is from RNAcentral. Lineage: Bacteria; Pseudomonadati; Pseudomonadota; Gammaproteobacteria; Oceanospirillales; Halomonadaceae.